RNAcentral lists this ribosomal RNA (590 nucleotides) under marine sediment bacterium BB0608_2216_3.2_1S0. Its description in RNAcentral is "bacterial SSU rRNA". It matches the Rfam family "Bacterial small subunit ribosomal RNA", at positions 74 to 669 of the family's 1533-position model. The record is from RNAcentral.
UUGCUACUUUGCUGACGAGCGGCGGACGGGUGAGUAAUGCUUGGGAACAUGCCUUGAGGUGGGGGACAACAGUUGGAAACGACUGCUAAUACCGCAUAAUGUCUACGGACCAAAGGGGGCUUCGGCUCUCGCCUUUAGAUUGGCCCAAGUGGGAUUAGCUAGUUGGUGAGGUAAUGGCUCACCAAGGCAACGAUCCCUAGCUGGUUUGAGAGGAUGAUCAGCCACACUGGGACUGAGACACGGCCCAGACUCCUACGGGAGGCAGCAGUGGGGAAUAUUGCACAAUGGGCGCAAGCCUGAUGCAGCCAUGCCGCGUGUGUGAAGAAGGCCUUCGGGUUGUAAAGCACUUUCAGUCAGGAGGAAAGGUUAGUAGUUAAUACCUGCUAGCUGUGACGUUACUGACAGAAGAAGCACCGGCUAACUCCGUGCCAGCAGCCGCGGUAAUACGGAGGGUGCGAGCGUUAAUCGGAAUUACUGGGCGUAAAGCGUACGCAGGCGGUUUGUUAAGCGAGAUGUGAAAGCCCCGGGCUCAACCUGGGAACUGCAUUUCGAACUGGCAAACUAGAGUGUGAUAGAGGGUGGUAGAAUUU